UCAAGCGAAGAUAGGGAUCAAGGCAAUCGAACGUCGGUAGUCAUCUAUAACUAGCGGAACAUAAGGUGAUGGAGUGGGCCCAGACCAUUCAGUACUAUGAGAAUCAAAGUUUUGGUUCGGGGGGAGUAUGUCGCAAGACUGAAACUUAAGGAAUUGACGAAGGCACACAGGAGUGGAGCUGGGGGCGUGAGUUGGACUCAACACGGGAACCUACCAGGUCCAGACAUAGUAAGGAAUAAACAAGAGUGGAUAGCUCUUUCUGAAUCUAUGGGUGUGUGCAUGCCGUCGUGUGUUGUUGUGUGUUGGUUUGGUCUGGUUAUCCGAUAACGAACGAGACUUAACUGCUAACUAGAUAUUUUCAUUUUAUGAAUAUAUCUUCUUAGAGGGACUAUAUGCUUUAAGUAUAUGGAAGUUGAGGCAAUGACAGGAAAGAAGAUGCCCUUAUAUGUCCUGGGCUGCACGCGUGCUACACUGAUGCAUACAACAAGUGCCUAGCUAGACAUAGUAUGGCAAUCUGGAAUAUGCAUCGUGAUGGGGAUAGAUCUUUGCAAUUAUAGAUCUUGAACGAGGAAUUCCUAGUAAGUGCAAGUCAUCAUCUUGCAUUGAUUAUGUCCCUGCCCUUUGUACACACGGGACGAGAGACUCCUACCGAUACCGGGUGAUCCGGUGAACCUAUGGACCUCGCAAGAGGAAAAAUAAGUAAACCAUAUCACCUGUAGAGAGAAGUCGAACAAUAAACGGACCCGGGCCGGUAAGCCAGA
Molecule: ribosomal RNA, 761 nt
Filed under: uncultured rumen protozoa
Lineage: Eukaryota
Description: bacterial SSU rRNA
Rfam family: Eukaryotic small subunit ribosomal RNA
Source: RNAcentral